Molecule: ribosomal RNA, 397 nt
Filed under: uncultured bacterium
Lineage: Bacteria
Description: partial 16S ribosomal RNA
Rfam family: Bacterial small subunit ribosomal RNA
Source: RNAcentral
AAUAUUGCACAAUGGGCGCAAGCCUGAUGCAGCAACGCCGCGUGCGCGAAGAAGGCCUUCGGGUCGUAAAGCGCUUUUCGGGGAGAAGAGGAAGGACGGUAUCCCCGGAAUAAGGCUCGGCUAACUACGUGCCAGCAGCCGCGGUAAAACGUAGGAGCCAAGCGUUAUCCGAAUUCACUGGGCGUAAAGCGCAUGUAGGCGGCCUGGUAAGUUGGCUGUGAAAUCUCCUGGCUCAACUGGGAGAGGCCGGUCAAGACUGUCAGGCUCGAGGGCGACAGAGGGAGGUGGAAUUCCGGGUGUAGUGGUGAAAUGCGUAGAUAUCCGGAGGAACACCAGAGGCGAAGGCGACCUCCUGGGUCGUACCUGACGCUCAGAUGCGAAAGCUAGGGGAGCGAAC